Molecule: long non-coding RNA, 568 nt
Organism: Phragmites australis (common reed)
Lineage: Eukaryota; Viridiplantae; Streptophyta; Magnoliopsida; Poales; Poaceae
Exons: 3
Source: RefSeq, a predicted model, not a curated record
GUUUAGACACCGCGCUUCUUGUUAAGCUCGCCGAGCAGACCAGUGAUUUUGUCGGCGGAGCUCGCUAUAUGGCGAUUUUUCUGGCAGAGCUCACGCGGGGCUUUUAGCGGUGGCGAAGCUGUCGUCGCUCUUCUCUCCGGGAGAAUCAAAUGUCCCAGCGAUUCGAGAAGCCAAUUGUUCUAUGGGUGGUUCAGGCCUAUGUUCAUGGACUUUGACUGUCUCCAAAGGUGCUCCAAAGGACUUCAGUCCUAUGUGAGAAUACAAGCCAGGGGCGGAUCCGCGGCACGGGCGCACAGCGGCACUGCGGCAGCCGGCAACAGACUGGUCGGCAGGCUGCAACCUGCAGGCGCCAUCCACGAGGCACUCAGCCACUCAGGCAUUGAGGAUUUGAGGCAGUGAUUCAGUCAUUCAGCCCAGUUCUCUCUGCAGGUGCAAAACUCUAAUCAUAUACCUGGAUUCAGUAAGAGGCAUCUAGGGGCUUGUUGAAGAGACCUGGACAGUUCCCUAUGUCUAAUGAGAAACCUGAUUUGUAUCAUGAGUAGUUAGUAUAGUACUCCUGAGUGAUCCG